This 497-nucleotide ribosomal RNA is filed under the name uncultured bacterium. RNAcentral's name for it is "partial 16S ribosomal RNA". It matches the Rfam family "Bacterial small subunit ribosomal RNA", at positions 28 to 507 of the family's 1533-position model. The record is from RNAcentral.
GAUGAACGCUGGCGGCGUGCCUAAUACAUGCAAGUCGAGCGAACGGACGAGAAGCUUGCUUCUCUGUUGUUAGCGGAGGAGGGGUGAGUAACACGUGGAUAACCUACUUAUAAGACUGGGAUAAUUACGGGAAAGCGGAGAUAAUCGCGGAUGAGAUUCUGAACCGCAUGGUUGAUAAGUGAAAGUCGGUCUUGCGGUAACUAAUAGAUGGAUACGCGCUGGAUUAGCUAGUUGGUAAGGUCACGGCUUACCAAGGCAACGAUGCAUAGCCGACCUCAUAGGCGGAUCGGCCACACGUGAACUGAGACACGCACAAGACUCCUACGGUACGCACCAGUAGCGUAUCGGCCGCAGUGGGCGAGAGCCUGACGGAGCGACGCGACGUGAGUGAUGGAAGUCCUCGGAUCGUAAAACUCGGUUAUGAGGGAAAAACAUAUUUGUAAGGAACUGUGCACAUCUUGACGGUACCGAAUCAGAAAGCCACGGCUAACUACGUG